RNAcentral lists this non-coding RNA (134 nucleotides) under Pseudomonas sp. 8Z. RNAcentral describes it as "rmf". It matches the Rfam family "rmf RNA". The record is from RNAcentral. Lineage: Bacteria; Pseudomonadati; Pseudomonadota; Gammaproteobacteria; Pseudomonadales; Pseudomonadaceae.
UUCGUUAGAACUCUACCCAUGGCUUCACCGCAACGGUGAACGCACAGGAGACUCGCCACGCCGGCAGCGACCUCCGCAGGCAGACAUUCAACUGCCAGGCCUCGCCACGAGGCCAACGGGACAUAACAGUCAAC